This 204-nucleotide long non-coding RNA is filed under the name Elaeis guineensis (African oil palm). Its description in RNAcentral is "long non-coding RNA (EGUI_LNC073090)". Lineage: Eukaryota; Viridiplantae; Streptophyta; Magnoliopsida; Arecales; Arecaceae. The record is from RNAcentral.
CUGUUAAUUCUAUCUCCUUAAUAAGAUGAUCAAGUUACUUUUUGUUGGAAAAGAUGAAUGAGUUAAUGAUGUUCUGAAUCGAUACAUAUUGAUGUAUUGGAUCGAUGAACAUGUUUGUUAUAAGUUUGGAUUAUUUAAAAUAUUUAAAUAAUUUUAUAGUAAGAUAAAGAAAUAAACUUGAAAGAGCAUUGAAAUUCUUUGAUC